RNAcentral lists this ribosomal RNA (497 nucleotides) under uncultured bacterium. Its description in RNAcentral is "partial 16S ribosomal RNA". It matches the Rfam family "Bacterial small subunit ribosomal RNA", at positions 28 to 507 of the family's 1533-position model. The record is from RNAcentral.
GACGAACGCUGGCGGCGUGCCUAAUACAUGCAAGUUGAGCGAUGAAGAUUGGUGCUUGCACCAAUUUGAAGAGCAGCGAACGGGUGAGUAACGCGUGGGGAAUCUGCCUUUGAGCGGGGGACAACAUUUGGAAACGAAUGCUAAUACCGCAUAACAACUUUAAACAUAAGUUUUAAGUUUGAAAGAUGCAAUUGCAUCACUCAAAGAUGAUCCCGCGUUGUAUUAGCUAGUUGGUGAGGUAAAGGCUCACCAAGGCGAUGAUACAUAGCCGACCUGAGAGGGUGAUCGGCCACAUUGGGACUGAGACACGGCCCAAACUCCUACGGGAGGCAACAGUAGGGAAUCUUCGGCAAUGGACGAAAGUCUGACCGAGCAACGCCGCGUGAGUGAAGAAGGUUUUCGGAUCGUAAAACUCUGUUGGUAGAGAAGAACGUUGGUGAGAGUGGAAAGCUCAUCAAGUGACGGUAACUACCCAGAAAGGGACGGCUAACUACGUG